RNAcentral lists this ribosomal RNA (491 nucleotides) under uncultured bacterium. Its description in RNAcentral is "partial 16S ribosomal RNA". It matches the Rfam family "Bacterial small subunit ribosomal RNA", at positions 29 to 506 of the family's 1533-position model. The record is from RNAcentral.
AGUGAACGCUGGCGGUAGGCCUAACACAUGCAAGUCGAACGGCAGCACAGUAAGAGCUUGCUCUUACGGGUGGCGAGUGGCGGACGGGUGAGGAAUACAUCGGAAUCUACUUUUUCGUGGGGGAUAACGUAGGGAAACUUACGCUAAUACCGCAUACGACCUACGGGUGAAAGCAGGGGAUCUUCGGACCUUGCGCGAUUGAAUGAGCCGAUGUCGGAUUAGCUAGUUGGCGGGGUAAAGGCCCACCAAGGCGACGAUCCGUAGCUGGUCUGAGAGGAUGAUCAGCCACACUGGAACUGAGACACGGUCCAGACUCCUACGGGAGACAGCAGUGGGGAAUAUUGGACAGUGGGCGCAAGCCUGAUCCAGCCAUACCGCGUGGGUGAAGAAGGCCUUCGGGUUGUAAAGCCCUUUUGUUGGGAAAGAAAAGCAGCAGGUUAAUACCCCGCUGUUCUGACGGUACCCAAAGAAUAAGCACCGGCUAACUUCGU